GGGACACAUGCUACCUGCUUACUGGACAGUGACUACUUAGGAUAAGGACUCAGGCAAGUAAGGUUGCAUUUUAGUCUCUCAGAUAUGGGGGGAAAAUUUUGGUGACAUUGGAGAGAGAGAUAAAUGAAAUAUUUUAUUAAAUUUAGAAUUUAAUGUAAAGUAGCAUAUACAGAGGCAAGAAACAGAAUAAUGUGUUUUAUGGUUGUCAGCUACCAUCUUUAAUUGACACACAAGUGGAGAAGAUAAAUAGUAAUUUGGAACCAAAACUCAGGACGUCCCAGGAGAGGCUAGAUUAGGAAUUCUUUGAUUUGGGAUCACGAAAAUGAAGUAUCCAUAUUUUAACAGAAUGAUUAGUGGCAGAGGAAUCAUCUAAGAAAACUGAGAAGACUCUGCCAGAGUGAUGGGAAGAAAACUAGAUGAGAAAGCACCAUUCUGGAAGACAUGCUCCCAUGAACCAUGGAGAGAAGAGGAGAGGGAAGAAGUUAUUUGUGAUGUCAUUUGCCUGUGUCAUGGCCUGCCUUCCCUAGAUAUUGUCCUAAUGUGAGCAUCACACCUAAGGUACUGAAGUAGAGUUCUGGCUGUUCCUUACGGACAUCUCU
RNAcentral lists this long non-coding RNA (599 nucleotides) under Homo sapiens (human). RNAcentral's name for it is "non-protein coding LINC00882:40". The record is from RNAcentral. Lineage: Eukaryota; Metazoa; Chordata; Mammalia; Primates; Hominidae.